CCUACGGGUGGCAGCAGUGGGGAAUAUUGCGCAAUGGGCGAAAGCCUGACGCAGCGACGCCGCGUGAGGGAUGAAGGUCUUCGGAUCGUAAACCUCUGUCAGCAGGGAAGAACGGUCACUGUGCUAAUCAGCAGUGAAUUGACGGUACCUGCAAAGGAAGCACCGGCUAACUCCGUGCCAGCAGCCGCGGUAAUACGGAGGGUGCGAGCGUUAAUCGGAAUUACUGGGCGUAAAGCGCUCGUAGGCGGUAUGUCAAGUCAAGGGUGAAAUCCCCGGGCUCAACGUGGGAACUGCCUUUGAAACUGGCAAACUGGAGUGUGGGAGAGGAUAGUGGAAUUCCAGGUGUAGGAGUGAAAUGCGUAGAUAUCUGGAGGAACAUCAGUGGCGAAGGCGACUAUCUGGCACAUAACUGACGCUGAGGAGCGAAAGCGUGGGUAGCAAACAGGAUUAGAUACCCGUGUAGUC
Molecule: ribosomal RNA, 465 nt
Filed under: uncultured bacterium
Lineage: Bacteria
Description: partial 16S ribosomal RNA
Rfam family: Bacterial small subunit ribosomal RNA
Source: RNAcentral